GUAAUUUGUAGCGCAGCGUUUACACAUUCUGUGAUUCUUGUUAUAAUUAAUUAAAAUGGGUAACGCUGAAGCGAAGAUUGAAACGAAGCCGGAGGAGAAAAAGAAAUUGAAACCUUGCUGUGCUUGUCCUGAAACGAAGAAAGCGAGGGAUACAUGCAUCAUAGAAAAGGGCGAGGAAAAUUGCGGCGAUCUCAUAGAAGCGCAUAAAACUUGUAUGAGAUCAAUGGGAUUUAAUAUUUAAAACAAACAGGAUUGAUGAAUAUCUCAUUACCAGAGAUAUCUUUGCAGCAAAGAACGUAAAGUUUUCUUAUAAAGAAAAUGCUCAGGUCACAGACAUAUUUACUAUGUAUGUCUUUGUAAAUAAUUAUCUUUUUAGAUUUUUUAGAAAAUAAAAAUAAGUGUUGCAUCUAUGAAGCUAAAUGAGUUUCUUAUAGGGAUAGUAACAAAUUAAUUUAAUAGUUUUUUGACAUUGUGAUCAAGCUUCAAAGAAGUAUGAAGCAGAUUGUACCAAUGAUUUAUAAGAAAUAAAAAAAUAAGCAUUCUUCCAAAA
Molecule: long non-coding RNA, 550 nt
Organism: Linepithema humile (Argentine ant)
Lineage: Eukaryota; Metazoa; Arthropoda; Insecta; Hymenoptera; Formicidae
Source: RefSeq, a predicted model, not a curated record